GGCCCCGUCGUCUAGUUAGGCCUAGGACACCGGAUUUUCGAUCCGAUAACAGGGGUUCAAAUCCCCUCGGGGUCA
RNAcentral lists this transfer RNA (75 nucleotides) under Planctomycetaceae bacterium. Its description in RNAcentral is "tRNA-Glu". It matches the Rfam family "tRNA". From Rfam's summary of the family: Transfer RNA (tRNA) molecules are approximately 80 nucleotides in length. Lineage: Bacteria; Pseudomonadati; Planctomycetota; Planctomycetia; Planctomycetales; Planctomycetaceae. The record is from RNAcentral.